GAUGAACGCUAGCUACAGGCUUAACACAUGCAAGUCGAGGGGAAACGGCAUUGAGUGCUUGCACUCUUUGGACGUCGACCGGCGCACGGGUGAGUAACGCGUAUCCAACCUUCCCAUUACUGUGGGAUAACCUGCCGAAAGGCAGACUAAUACCGCAUAGUCUUCGAUGACGGCAUCAGAUUUGAAGUAAAGAUUUAUCGGUAAUGGAUGGGGAUGCGUCUGAUUAGCUUGUUGGCGGGGUAACGGCCCACCAAGGCUACGAUCAGUAGGGGUUCUGAGAGGAAGGUCCCCCACAUUGGAACUGAGACACGGUCCAAACUCCUACGGGAGGCAGCAGUGAGGAAUAUUGGUCAAUGGACGGAAGUCUGAACCAGCCAAGUAGCGUGCAGGAUGACGGCCCUAUGGGUUGUAAACUGCUUUUGUAUGGGGAUAAGGUUAGGGACGUGUCCCUAUUUGCAGGUACCAUACGAAUAAGGACCGGCUAAUUCCGUGCCAGCAGCCGCGGUAAUACGGAAGGUCCAGGCGUUAUCCGGAUUUAUUGGGUUUAAAGGGAGCGUAGGCUGGAGAUUAAGUGUGUUGUGAAAUGUAGACGCUCAACGUCUGAAUUGCAGCGCAUACUGGUUUCCUUGAGUACGCACAACGUUGGCGGAAUUCGUCGUGUAGCGGUGAAAUGCUUAGAUAUGACGAAGAACUCCGAUUGCGAAGGCAGCUGACGGGAGCGCAACUGACGCUUAAGCUCGAAGGUGCGGGUAUCAAACAGG
RNAcentral lists this ribosomal RNA (761 nucleotides) under Prevotella melaninogenica. RNAcentral's name for it is "bacterial SSU rRNA". It matches the Rfam family "Bacterial small subunit ribosomal RNA", at positions 28 to 776 of the family's 1533-position model. Lineage: Bacteria; Pseudomonadati; Bacteroidota; Bacteroidia; Bacteroidales; Prevotellaceae. The record is from RNAcentral.